AAGGGUAUAGCUCAGUGGUAGAGUGAAUGCUUAGCAUGCAUGAGGUCCUGGGUUCAAUCCCCAGUACCCCUA
This 72-nucleotide transfer RNA is filed under the name Camelus bactrianus (Bactrian camel). It matches the Rfam family "tRNA". From Rfam's summary of the family: Transfer RNA (tRNA) molecules are approximately 80 nucleotides in length. Their secondary structure includes four short double-helical elements and three loops (D, anti-codon, and T loops). The record is from Rfam by way of RNAcentral. Lineage: Eukaryota; Metazoa; Chordata; Mammalia; Artiodactyla; Camelidae. RNAcentral also lists the same sequence under 1 other name.